RNAcentral lists this ribosomal RNA (253 nucleotides) under uncultured bacterium. RNAcentral's name for it is "partial 16S ribosomal RNA". It matches the Rfam family "Bacterial small subunit ribosomal RNA", at positions 524 to 776 of the family's 1533-position model. The record is from RNAcentral.
UACGUAGGGUGCAAGCGUUAUUCGGAAUUACUGGGCGUAAAGCGUGCGCAGGCGGUUUUGCAAGACAGAUGUGAAAUCCCCGGGCUUAACCUGGGAACCGCAUUUGUGACUGCAUAGCUGGAGUACGGCAGAGGGGGAUGGAAUUCCGCGUGUAGCAGUGAAAUGCGUAGAUAUGCGGAGGAACACCGAUGGCGAAGGCAGUCCCCUGGGCCUGUACUGACGCUCAUGCACGAAAGCGUGGGGAGCAAACAGG